UUAGUGGCGGACGGGUGAGUAACGCGUGGAUAACCUGCCGUAUACAGGGGAGUAACACUUAGAAAUAGGUGCUAAUACCGCAUAAGCGCACGGUUCCGCAUGGAACAGUGUGAAAAACUCCGGUGGUAUACGAUGGAUCCGCGUCUGAUUAGCCAGUUGGCGGGGUAACGGCCCACCAAAGCGACGAUCAGUAGCCGGCCUGAGAGGGUGAACGGCCACAUUGGGACUGAGACACGGCCCAAACUCCUACGGAAGGCAGCAG
Molecule: ribosomal RNA, 262 nt
Filed under: uncultured bacterium
Lineage: Bacteria
Description: partial 16S ribosomal RNA
Rfam family: Bacterial small subunit ribosomal RNA
Source: RNAcentral